RNAcentral lists this ribosomal RNA (557 nucleotides) under Fusarium sp. ASR-258. RNAcentral describes it as "eukaryotic LSU rRNA". The stretch from base 229 to 382 matches the Rfam family "5.8S ribosomal RNA". Lineage: Eukaryota; Fungi; Ascomycota; Sordariomycetes; Hypocreales; Nectriaceae. The record is from RNAcentral.
CUCCGGUGUUUUGUGGUGUUUUGCCACACCUGUCGGUGNAUGAUCCCUCCCGGUAGGUGAACCUGCGGAGGGAUCAUUACCGAGUUUACAACUCCCAAACCCCCUGUGAACAUACCAAUUGUUGCCUCGGCGGAUCAGCCCGCUCCCGGUAAAACGGGACGGCCCGCCAGAGGACCCCUAAACUCUGUUUCUAUAUGUAACUUCUGAGUAAAACCAUAAAUAAAUCAAAACUUUCAACAACGGAUCUCUUGGUUCUGGCAUCGAUGAAGAACGCAGCAAAAUGCGAUAAGUAAUGUGAAUUGCAGAAUUCAGUGAAUCAUCGAAUCUUUGAACGCACAUUGCGCCCGCCAGUAUUCUGGCGGGCAUGCCUGUUCGAGCGUCAUUUCAACCCUCAAGCCCAGCUUGGUGUUGGGACUCGCGAGUUAAACCGCGUUCCCCAAAUUGAUUGGCGGUCACGUCGAGCUUCCAUAGCGUAGUAGUAAAACCCUCGUUACUGGUAAUCGUCGCGGCCACGCCGUUAAACCCCAACUUCUGAAUGUUGACCUCGAGCACGUCAG